ACGCCCAAGAUGCGCGCGGCCAUCUUGGCUGAUCGGGGGAUACCACGUGAGUCAGAGGAGAUGAAUGGAUGGGAAUUAUCUCAUGGAUGGGGCCAUCUCAGCUGGGUGAAUUCGAAUAUUUUCCAGUGGAUGAGAUUCAGGUGGAACUGCCCACACUGGGAAGACGAAUCACGCCAGGGGAUACUGCUCCAGCACCUACGCCUCACCAUCCUCAUCAUCCAGGAGCAGCGUAUACGACCAGACAAUGAACGGAAAAUAGAAGGCGCCAUUGCAGAGACAGUUGAAUGCGUU
Molecule: long non-coding RNA, 291 nt
Organism: Diachasmimorpha longicaudata
Lineage: Eukaryota; Metazoa; Arthropoda; Insecta; Hymenoptera; Braconidae
Exons: 3
Source: RefSeq, a predicted model, not a curated record